UUCGAUGGCGAACCGUUCGGGCAGUCGAAAGACUGGCCGGUUUCCUUUCUUGUCCGGUAGUGCUAACCCGUGCGGUUUGCCGCCAUA
RNAcentral lists this non-coding RNA (87 nucleotides) under Candidatus Kentrum sp. TUN. Lineage: Bacteria; Pseudomonadati; Pseudomonadota; Gammaproteobacteria. The record is from RNAcentral.